GGACGGGUGAGUAACGCGUGGGUAACCUGCCUUGUGCAAAGGGAUAGCCACUGGAAACGGUGAUUAAUACCUUAUAAUACUAUUUUAUCGCAUGAUUAAAUAGUCAAAGCUCCGGCGGCACAAGAUGGACCCGCGUUUGAUUAGCUAGUUGGUAGGGUAACGGCCUACCAAGGCGACGAUCAAUAGCCGACCUGAGAGGGUGAUCGGCCACACUGGAACUGAGACACGGUCCAGACUCC
RNAcentral lists this ribosomal RNA (239 nucleotides) under uncultured bacterium. Its description in RNAcentral is "partial 16S ribosomal RNA". It matches the Rfam family "Bacterial small subunit ribosomal RNA", at positions 100 to 339 of the family's 1533-position model. The record is from RNAcentral.